This 662-nucleotide ribosomal RNA is filed under the name uncultured cyanobacterium. RNAcentral describes it as "bacterial SSU rRNA". It matches the Rfam family "Bacterial small subunit ribosomal RNA", at positions 99 to 795 of the family's 1533-position model. The record is from RNAcentral. Lineage: Bacteria; Bacillati; Cyanobacteriota.
CGGACGGGUGAGUAACGCGUGAGAAUCUACCCUUAGGAGGGGGAUAACAGUUGGAAACGACUGCUAAUACCCCAUAUGCCGCAAGGUGAAACCUUUUUGGCCUGAGGAUGAGCUCGCGGUGGAUUAGCUAGUUGGUGGGGUAAUGGCCUACCAAGGCGACGAUCAGUAGCUGGUCUGAGAGGAUGAUCAGCCACACUGGGACUGAGACACGGCCCAGACUCCUACGGGAGGCAGCAGUGGGGAAUUUUCCGCAAUGGGCGCAAGCCUGACGGAGCAAGACCGCGUGCGGGAGGACGGCCUAUUGGUUGUAAACCGCUUUUGAUAGGGAAGAAGUUCUGACGGUACCUAUCGAAUCAGCAUCGGCUAACUCCGUGCCAGCAGCCGCGGUAAUACGGAGGAUGCAAGCGUUAUCCGGAAUUAUUGGGCGUAAAGCGUCCGUAGGUGGUUGUUCAAGUCUGCUGUUAAAGCGUGCGGCUUAACCGCAUACCAGCAGUGGAAACUGGGCGACUAGAGUGCGGUAGGGGUCAGGGGAAUUCCCAGUGUAGCGGUGAAAUGCGUAGAUAUUGGGAAGAACACCGGUGGCGAAAGCGCCUGACUGGACCUGCACUGACACUGAGGGACGAAAGCUAGGGGAGCGAAAGGGAUUAGAUACCCCUGUAGUC